This 11541-nucleotide long non-coding RNA is filed under the name Theobroma cacao (cacao). Its description in RNAcentral is "long non-coding RNA (TCAC_LNC004948)". The record is from RNAcentral. Lineage: Eukaryota; Viridiplantae; Streptophyta; Magnoliopsida; Malvales; Malvaceae.
AGAAAUUUUGUGAUAUUACUAGGAAUUGAACCAACAAAUUUGUUUUGAUUGGCUGAAAACCUCCGCAGCGUUGUGAUACUUGAAAGGGUUGCAGGGAUCAACCCUGUCAACUUAUUGGAAGAUAGAAUGAGGACUUGCAACUUGGUGAGGUUCCCAAUACUUGCAGGAAUUUGUCCACUAAGGCUAUUAAAACUAAGAUCAAUCCGGACCAAAUUCUGAUAGAUUCCAAUUUCAGUUGGUAUUGGACCUGAGAAGUUAUUCUUAGAAAGCACAAGACCCAAUAUUUUGAGUGCACUCAAAUCAUUUAACUGAGAAUUAAUACUCCCACUCAAAGAAUUGAAAGAAAAAUCCAAGGAUUCCAAUCCAACAAAUUUAUGAAAAGUAGGCAAAGAACCAACCAACUUGUUGUUGCUAAAGUCCAAGCUCUUUAACCCAUCAAUCCUUCCACAACUAUUGAAAAACUCAUCAGGGAUUGACACCAAAAAGUUGUUUGACAAGUUAAGAUACUGCAGAGAAUCAAUCUGGCAAAACAUAGGUAGAAAUUUAGAGGUAGAGAGACCAAACCCGGAUAAAGAAAGAGAGACUAUGGAGUUGUUGAGAGGGAUGUUGCAUGUAACUCCUUUCCAACGGCACGGGUUCGGCUCUUUUGUAGAAUUCCAAGGUGAACUUGGGAUGUCAAGCUGCUGAGAAAUAUUGAUCAUUAUGUUCGUCUGGUUUGAAGUUAGUUGACAGAAGACCAAAGGGUAUAAACAGAAGAAGAAAUUUAUGAGCAGAUAAAGGCUGUAAAUGGUGCAACUCCUCAUUGUAGAGAAGACUAUUCACCAAGCUCUCCUUGUCAGGAUUCAGAAGGGGAAGAAAGGAGCCAGAAGAGUAAGGAAAAGAGCAGAGAAGAGAAUAAAAGGGGAUGGGAUUAGAAUAACAUGACAGACAGACAGAGAUAUUGGUGGCUUGGUGAUGGGAUUUGCGUUUUUCAAAGUGGAAAUUCAUGGGAAAGAGGGAAAAGAAAAGAAAGAUGUUUGUUCUGGGCGUGUUGGGAGUGGAGUUGACUGCAAAUACAGCGCAAUAUGAAAUGGGGACGGACUGACUGACAACGGCCAUUGCAGUGUUGGUUUGGUGCGUGUGGGAGAGGGUUGCUGUCAUUUCUUUGUGACUUUCUGUUUGAUGACUUUGACUCUCACACUCACACAUUGGUCUUCGCAUGGAAGUUAAAUAAUAUGGGAAAGAACAACAAUUCAAAGUCUGUGUGUGGGGGUGGAGGGGAGGGGGAGCCAUUGGCGGAAGAAGAGCCCACUUUUGAAUGCUACAGCCUGCAAUUAGGAAAAACGCGUUUCAAAGACUUUUUGGUUUAGGAGUCCUGCUUACGGCCUAGACCUUGGUCAAUCUUGUACCUUUUGAGUAUUCUUUUUUUAUUUAAAAAAUUCUUAAACUAUUUAAAUAAAUUAAAUAAGUUUUUUUUCUUUUUUACGUUUUAUUAAAUUUUUAUAAUUUUAUUUUACACUAAACAAACCCUUACGAGAUACAUAAAACUACCCUUAGAAGGUAGUGAUGCAACAUAGCACUUGCAAGACAUAAAAAAUUUAUCAUAUGGCUUGUUCUGCGUAUAAGGUAAAUGAAGAAAGCGCAAAAAGAUGAUCGGGUUGCAAAUGAGAUCAAAUUACAGGUUUAUAAUUAAGCGUUUUAUGAUUAGUUCUCGAUUGAUUGUUAUUAAUUAAAAUAUCACUUGUCAUUUUAUACUCAUAUUGUAUUGACAUAAAAUAUGAAAAUAUCACAUGAUUAUAACUUCAUGCCACAUCAACAUGUCAUGAUUUUUAUAUAUUAUGACAUGUUAAUAUGUUACGUCAAUAUCAUAUGAUAUAAAAUAAUAAAUAAUAUUUUUACUAAUAAGAGUUACUUAUAAAGAUUUAUUUAGUUUAAAAUAAAAGAAUAAAAAUUUAAUUGAAUGUAAUAAAAAGAUAAAUAUUUAUUUAUAUUUUCUUAAAAAGUUCAAGAAUUUUUUUAAAUAUUAUAUCUUAAUUUUUCCAUUUACGAUUUAUGAUUUUUUGUUCACAUUAAAAUCAAAAGUUUUUUUUUUCUUAAUCACGAUCAAAGCAAAAAACAAUUAAACAUCUAAAACCAGAGGAAUAAAUUUCCAAUGAUGUACAAGUGCAUAUUACAGUUUGAUUUGGUGUGACUCUUAAGUAAUAAAUGUUUGCCAUUAAAAAAAAGUGCAUAUAACUUUCAUAGCUGGUGCGUUGCAUACGAAUCUCUUUCUACUUGUUUUUUUCUUUCUCAUUCUAUCUCUUUUUUUCUUUUCUUUUUCUCUUUUUUCAUACGGGCUCCACAUGGCUUGAGGAGAAGCCCCUGAGGUAAUAGAUUUGAGGAAUGAAUUGACCCAAGGUCUUCGAGUCAUCUAUAUUAUAUUUAAACGUAUUUGAAAAUUCUGGCCCCCCCAAAGUUAAGGUGUGGCUGCACUUUUGUUCUACAUUGAAAAAUACUAAAGAAGUCGGAAGAAGAAAGUCACUAUUGCUUAGAGGUGUUGAUACUUUGAUUAGAAUGAAUUCAGGAUGAGUUUAUGUUACAUUACCACGAAAAACCUGUAGUUGUCCAAGCUCAAUUUCAAUACAAAAGUAAGUAGAUGUAGGCUAUAUUGAUUUUUUUUUCCCUUAAUACUAGAAAAAGUUCAUAAUUAUUUUUUAAAAAAUAAAAUAAUUUUUUAUUUUUAUUUUUUAAAAAAAAUACAUAAUUUUAUUGUUAAAUAUCUAAAAUUAUAAAAAUUUUAAACUUUAUGAUUAUAAUGAAAAUAAAAUAAAAUAAAAGCUAAAUAAAAUCUUUAUAUAACAAGAGGCCUGGUUUUAAAGGAUAUCUAAGCCCAAACUUGAGAGGCUUCCAGUGAUUUAAAGCAUUACAAAAACCUCCAGCUGCUUGUCCACAGAAUGUCGCAACAAACAACCACUUAAAUGAAUCCUGUUUGAUGCAGCUUACCACUAUCUUCCUCUUAGAUUGAACAUGUCUUAAGCAACUCAAUACAACCUUCAAUGCAUAAUGAAAACAGUCCAACUCACGAUCAAGUCCUUAAUGUACAUAAAUUUUUGCCCCCAAUGUCCAAAUUCAGACCAACUUCGCUCAUUGUCCACUGUAACCGCAAAACUUUCAAUAAAACUGUCCAGUAAUCUGAGUAUUCAUAUAGAAGUAGAGUUACUUUUAUAGGUGGCCUCUUUCUCAUGUCAAAAGUCUUAUUUUUGAAUUUAAGAUAAAUCUCUAUCGUGUAGGAUUUUAACUCCAAUUUAGAGUCUAAGUGAAAUACAAUUGUAAAGACCGAUUUAAAUCCAAACAACCUAAGAAAUUUCUCCUUUCAUAGCAAUUAGAAUUUUCUUUUCACAUGUAAUAAAAAAUUCUUUAAACUGACCAAUUAGAAUAAAUCCCUCUCACAUGUUACUCUUUGUUUAGUUAGUACAUCUACCUCUGUAUUAGCCUCCCUAAGUGUAUGUGUAACCAUCCAAUUCGAAAUUGAGCUCCGUAAACAACCAAUUUGUACCAUAUGUUGCCUGAACGCCAAGGAACUUUCAAGGGAUUAUUUAUCCAGUUGACCACAUUAUUAGAGUUGUUUUCAAUCCAUAAUUUCAUUUGUGAAUUUUUCAUAUAUCUGCUAAACCAUAAGAAAGCUUUUUUUAUAGCUAGAAUUUUCACCCGAUUAGCAUCAUAAAAACCAAUGGACUUAGCAAAUCUUAUAACUACUUCCCCUUUAUAAUCUUGAAAAAUUCCACUAAUACUUGCCUGUCGUGGAUUCCCAAUUGAAACUUCAUGUCACAACCUAAAUCUAGGACAUGACCGGUGCAAAGGUAUUGAUGAGAAUUACCCUCUUAAUCCAUGCAAGCCUAGUAAUAAAUAAUUAAACCAAUAAUCAUAUGUGUCUCAUGGCAACCGUCACCAUGAAAUCAUAUGCAAAAUAGAUAUAAACAUGAAUAUUAUGUACAUCAAGUAUUAUAAAAUCAAUCUGCAUGCUUACGUGCUUAACAUGCAGAAGCAAAUAAGCAUAAUCUAAAGCAUUGACCAUCUUGUGGCGGAUACAUCUCAUAAGCCAACUUGUGGCAACAAACCAAAGUAUCAAUUAUUACAUGACAUAUACAAGGUCUAAAUUCACAACAAUCGGAAAUAUAAAGAAAGGCUCGACCAUAACAAACUCAACGGAGUACAGCUCUGAAUAGAAAGGCAGACGCCUAUUGGAUGCAAUGAUAAUCACCUACCAAAACUUACUGUAAAAGUAGCUCUCUCCAAAGGAUAACAAUCCAAGCAAUCUAUUGAUUUGAAACAACAUGUGUGAGUUAUAAACAACUCCGUGAGCACAUUCAAGGAUGGGGAACAAGCAAUGGGGAAGAGUAUUUAGAAAAAUACGCUUUCAAAAAUAUGCAAUUAGACGAUUAUCAAUAUUUUCAAAACUCGCCUUAUUAGGCAUAAUCAUAAACCGAGCCACAUUUACCCAAGUGUACUCACUUGAUAGUUCUGCUUAUCCAGCGUGUCAAAUAACCUUGUGGUCAACAACUCGCCCAAAUCCAUAGUUUCGAGUCUAUUAUCUUUUAAAUGACAUCAAUAAACAUAUGUUUACAAUCAAUCUAGGUCUAGGAUCUUUUAAUCAGAAAAAAGAUAUGUUAAAUGUCCUUUUAUAAAACAUAGUAUAUAAAAUGAUUCGUAAUUUUCAAAUAAUGUUUAAAGUUUGAAAUCCAACUUGAAAAGAUUGAUUAAAUUAUCAAUCUAAGAGCACUAAAAGCAUUAAUCAAUUCACCAAAGAUUUAGCUUUUUAAUCAAAUACAUUUCCAUUAGAAAAGCUUUUGAAAACAUUUUUAUUUUUCAAAAAUAAGCUUGAUCUAUCGAUUGAUCGUGCCUAUCUAUCGAUAGAUUUAUCGCAUCUAUCGAUGAAUAGAAGAUAGAUUACAAUUCUAAAGGUUUUGUGUUGUAUCUAUCAAUACUUCAUGAACAACAAUCGAUAGAUAGGCUAUAGAAAACAAAAAUUGAACUUGUAACUCAUAACUAGGACCUCAAACAAGUUUAUAACUCAACCAUAGACAAAUAAACAACAUUUAAACAUCAUGUAACAAUAGACAUGAUACAAUUCAUCAACUUAAUCAUGAGUUCAAAAUAACUUGGUCUAAAUCCAAACAUUAUACAUUCAAUCAAUCAAAAUGGAGCUCUAACCAAGGACAUCCAAACCACCUCGUGUUGUCACACUAAACCAAAUAGCUCGUUGCUCUUGGCCAACAACUAUUCAUAAAAAGGGGUAAUACUUCAUUAGUUACUAAUAUCCAGCGAGUCUCGAAAAUUUCUUAAGCAGCUCAAAUUGCCAUUCAUUGUGCACAUGGCUAGUGCCUCUUACCACUAGCUACAGGUCUUCAUGCCAAUAAGCUCUAACAAGCAUAAUACAACAAUUCAAUGUACGGUAUAUAAUCAAUCAUCAACAUCCAUAAAGGUUGAGGCAACAUAAAACCAUAAUCAAUCAACUACACAACAUUUUAUAAUGAAACGCUAUAAAUACCAUGGCAGCAUCAAAGAGAAAAACAUUUAUCAUGCAACUUUUAAAAUCCCUCCUUCAUACACCAAUCAUUCACAAAUGAGAAGUUGAGAUAUAAAUACAAUGGUAAGGCUUAUUCCCCAUUUUCAAAGACUAUAUAGUAGACUAUAUAUACUUAGUUUAUAGUUUUCAUCAAACAUACUUGAUAAGAUGUGUUCACCACACAAACGUUAUCAAAAUCCAUUUAUAUGUAUGGUUGUAGAAUAAGCAUGCUUAAUUAGAUCAAAUUAAUUAAAAAAGCUGCAUCCACCCACCUUAAUGAAGUGUGUCUGGCUUUUUUGAACCUUUCAUCGAACACUUGCUUUUCCAACAACUUCAAAUCUUCUUCACAAAACCUAACACAAUGUUUCUAACAUUAAUACUUAGUUUUCCUAGUCUAAAAACCAUUAAACCUUUCCACAAAAUUUUCUAGUAAUUCUUCAAUCCACAAAUCAACAACUAAUCCAACUCUAACUCAAGGAUUAUAAUCUAUUUUUAGCUAGAGUUAGAGCAACUUUACCUUGGUGAGUUUUAAGAGUUCCAACACCAAAUAAAACCUAGGUUUUUAGAACCAAAAACAAAUUUUUUAGUAUCCACAAUUUUCGAAAAUCAAAUCUUAAGUUUAGAAAGGUUAAAAAUCAGAAUUUUACUUUUUAAAGUUCUUAGAGUGAAGAAACAUGAUUGAAAAUCACUUAAAGCUUCAAAAUCCUUUAAUUUCGUGAAAAAUGGAGUUAAGAGCAAAAGAGGAUGAGGUCGCUGACUUUGAGUGAAAAACCUCAUUUUUGAGGGUUUUAGAGUUUUAAAAGGAACGUAAAAAGACCAAAAUACCCAUUUUUUAAAAUUUGGACAUAAUCUAUCGAUAGAUAAGGCCUAUUUAUUGAUAGAUAUAGGCAUCAACCGAUAGAUGUUCUUCAGUUUCCUUUACUGGUUUUGAUCUAUCGAUAGAUGAUGAACAUCUAUCGAUUGAUAUACUUCAUAACGUUAUUUUUUGUUAAAAAUAUACCUUUUUUAACUCCAAAAUAGACUUGUAUGCUCCACAUUAAAUUUGAGCCAUUCUUGUUGUGGUGCUAUCUAUUCAACCUGUAUCUUCUUUGACUUCACAAUCUAAGCAAAACUCACUAAAGUUAGACUUUUGAAUAUAUCAUCAACUCUAUCAUUCAACUUUGGCCAUUUGGCUUUACUCCAAAUAGUAACCCGAAGUUUAAUUUGACUAUGCAAUUGGUUUUGAUCCCAUAUUUUCCUAUUAAAAAUAAUGUCAUUAUUAAAUAACCAAAUAGACCAAGAAAUAGAAUAAGACCCAAGCAUCCAAAUUUGAAUCCUCUUUCUUUUAAUUUUUGUUGAACUCCAAGCUAAGAACAAUUUUUUUUGGACUACUCGGAGCAACCCAGCUAACCUCUUAAUCAUAAAACUACAUACUCCAUAACCUCUAAGUCUCCUCAUAAUUAAUAAAAAGAUGGCAAAGAGAUUUUUGGCAUUUUUUACACAACACACAAAUUAAUUGAUCUUUAUAAAUCAUUUUCUUUUUAUAAAUUCAGAUUUACUAGCAACUUUCUCCCACAUUAAUUGUCAAACAAAUAUUUUUACUUUAAAUGGAGCAUAUCCUAACCAAAUCUUCUUCCACAAUUCUUUUCUUUUAAAGUAGGAAUUACGAACAGAAAGAGAAAAAGAUUUCAUAGAAAACAUACUACUAGGAGUUGCUUUCCUUAUAAUUCCAUCUUUAAAACCAUCACAUAGCGUAUGCUCUUUCAAGUAGCUUUAUAAUUGAGUCCAUUGUGCAAACUCUCAUCCAAACAACUUAUUUCUUAAUUCUAUUUCCCAUUGCGACCUAGCAUUAGUCCACUGUCCAUAUUCACAUAAUCUACCAUCUUUAUUCACUGUUAAUGCAAAAAGCCUUGGAAACUCAUCUUUCAAAAUUAAAUCGUUCAUCCACUUAUCAUGCUAGAAUAAAACUGAAGUGCCAUCACUUACAACAACUCCCAAGUUAGCUCCAACCUGCCGAAAAAAUUUGUCAGUAGGCAUUAGAGGAGAAAUAUUGUUGUUCCAAAUGAUAACGAGUGACAGUAGUUUUAGGUAACAGGACACACGAAUUGUAGUCAUUCUUUGCAGCCACCACUUUUCUCCAUAGUUUAUCUUUCUCAUUACCAUACCUCUAUAACCAUUUAAUAAAAAGUCCUCUAUUCUAAAUUUCAAGAUUCACCCUACCCAAUCCCCAAUCCUCCUUUGAACAACAGACAUUGUCCCAUUUAAUGAAAUGCAUUCCUUUGUUAUUAUUCAACCCUUCCCAUAAAAUCUAUGUUGCAUUUUAUCAAAUCCCUUAAAUUGAGACAUAAAAAAAUGGGCAAGUUAUUAAAAAGAGACUUAAACAGGGUACUCUACCUCUUCUAGAUAAACAUUUGAAUUUUCAUCCCUCCAAUUUUUCCUCUACCUUUUGAAUCAAAGGUUUCCAAAUUUUUGCGGAAGAUAACUUAAUCCCCAAUGGUAAUCCCAAAUAAGUUGUAAAAAAGUUACCAAGCUUACAAUGUUUCUGACCAUCCCGAUUUUGCUCCAUUUUCAUUUAAUGUUCCAAUGCCAAACAAAAAGCUUUUGUGAAAAUUUAUUUUCAACCUAGUCAUUAGACGAAAACAUCUCAAAAGUCUCUUCAAAUUAAACAACUCCUCUAAAUUGGAUUUACAGAAAAGUAUUGUAUCAUCUGCAAACUGAAAAUGUGACAAAUUAGUUCCACAAUCAUCAAUAGACACCCCAUUGUAAAUUUGCACUUCUUUCGCUUUUUAACCAUCAUGCAACUGAAAACCUCUGUUACGAAAAUAGAUAGAAAAAAAGAGAAUUUUUCAUAAUAGAGGGAAGCCUUGUGUCAAACCCCUUUUUAAUUUAAUUGGUUUUGCCGGAGGACCAUUCACUAAGACGAAUAUGAAAGCUAUAGAUACACACUCCAUUAUCCAAUUGGACCAUCUCCUUCCAAACCCAAUUUUUCAUAAAGUGAAUUUCAAAAAAUCAUAGUUAACACUGUCAUAGGCCUUUUCAAAAUCAACUUUAAACUUCAAGCCACCCUGUCUAUUUUUAUUCAUAAAAUCAGCCAUCUCAUUUGCAAUUAAGAAGGAGUCAAGCAAUUGUCUACUAGGCAUGAAUGGAAAUUGAUGUUCUCCCACCACUUUUCCAAUCACCUUUCGCAAUCUAUUAGCCAACAAAUUAGCAAUAAUUUUUAAUACACAACCCAUUAAGUUGCCACUUAUCAUUUUUCAUUUACGUGAGGCUUACGUGUCAUAAUGGGUAAUGACGUAGCAUUCUGAUGUGGUAUGGUGACCUGACCAUAUGGCAUUUUCACCCUCUACGUCAAUGUUAUGUCAGUGCCAUUUGAAUAAAAAAAAGAAAAGUGACAUUUUGACUAAUGAUAAUUAACCAACUAUUAAUUAUAAAGAUUUAUUUGAUCCAAAAUUAAAGUAUAGAAACUUAAUGGAAUGUAAUAGAAGAAUGAAAACUUAUUUACAUUUUCUUAACUAGUUUAGGAGCUUUUUCAAGUAUUUUUUUAAUUAAAACAAAAAAGUCAUCAUAAAACUAGAAAAUUAUUGAAAAAUAAAUAAAAUAUUAAAAGAUAUAAAAAUUUUUCCUUGCCAAUGAACAAUGCUAGCUCCAUUCGCAAUAAGCCUAAAUUUCUUUAUAGACAUCGAAGCUUUCUUCUCCCAACUCAAAUUUGAUAUUAAUAGCUUAGUUGUGUCAUAUUGGUGAUUAAAAUAGAAAUUUAAACAAAUUUUAAGUAACAAAUAGUGUAGUUUGCUCUUAAUUUCUUAUACAAACAUGCACACACUAAAAAAUAGUAAAUCAUAUUCAAUGAAAAUUUUCAUUGGAAAUCUAUCAAAAAUGGGUAUUUUUGAUAGAUUUUCAACGAAAUCAAUCAUAGAAAGUUUUAUUGAAAAUAGGUCAGUCAAUAAUAUUAUUUCGUGGAAAUAAAAAAAAUUCGUCGAAAAUGCUUUAAAAUUCCCAAUGAAAUAAUCAUACAAAAAAGGCCCUUGAAUCCGUAGAAAAUGAAUAAAAUAAUAACUUAAUUAAUGAAUAAAAUAAUAGUAAUCAAUGAAUUUGAAAAAUAAAAAAGAAAAUAUUAUUACAUUAAUUUCUUUGGUUGCUUUAAACAGGAAUAGAGAGAAGAGCUUAAAUCAAAGAACUGAUCGGCUCGCUUAACACGGGAUUUGAUCGGCCCGAUUAAAACGUGGUUGGGUCCAGAGAAAGGCAAGUCCACCAUUUACCCAUAACCCAACACAAACCAAAUUAAUAUGGGUUCGGUUUUAUUUAAUUGGAUUUGGACCCAAUUGAACAAAUAAAAAAUCUAAUCCAAUAUAAAGGUAAUUCUUAUAAGGAAAGGUAUAUUAAUUUAUAUUAUAAUUGCAUAUAAAACUUAAUCUAAUUAUUAAUAAAAGAAAAGUUAUCCUUAGUAUAUUUGGAUAACAAAUAUUAUGAGAGCUAAAAAUAUUUUUUUGUUUACCUACUAUUGGAUUACUGAACGUAAUAUGUAAUAUGUUGAUAUUAACUAUACAUGUUAGAGUUUGUAAAAGAUAAAAAUUAACGUAUAUUAUAAGUUUAAUUGAGGUAAUUAUGUUAGAAUAUAAAUUUUGUUAAAUUAGGAUAAAUCAUAUAGAAAAAUAAUAUUUAUUGAAGUUGCUUCAGUCCGCAAAAAUCAAAUUUGGGAAAUAAUUUUUUUUUUAACGCAAAAUUCUUUCUGUUUUGUGUAUAUAUUUUCUGAUAAGCAGAUCAGUAAUCGCAACUAACCCUAUAGCAAGAACAGCUGCCGCAAUUGUACUGAGAAUUGUCACAGCAAUUCGUGUUCUCUUGUUACUUGACACUGGAUAAUUUGUUGUUGCAUUUUGAAGUCCUGGAUUUCCACUUGUAUUGACUGAAACAUGUUGACUGAACUUGGGAAUAACUCCGGAUAGCAGAUUAUUGGAAAGUAUUAGCUGUUUCAGUGAAGACAAACCAAGCAGGAAAUCAGGAAUUUCACCUGAGAAUUUGUUGUUAGAGAGAUCCAAAACUUCCAAACUAAACAGUCCAGAAAGAGUCUUUGGAAUGGGUCCUUCAAAGAGGUUCCAACUGAGAUUCAAAGAAAUCUGCAAAUUUAGUGGCAUAGAGGGAAUCUUGCUACUCAAUUUAUUUUCUCCAAGCUGGAUUUCUAGCAGAGAAUUCAAGUUGCUAAUUUGAUCAGGUAUAGGACCAGUGAGAUUGUUGCCUUGCAAGUUCAAGUUAACAAGAUUUCUAAAAUUUGAAAUUGACGAAGGUAUGAUGCCAUUGAGCGAAUUCCAGCUGAUAUUAAGUACGGAUAACAUUCGCAAUUGGCCAAUUUGACUUGGGAUUUCACCACCAACCUUGUUGAGUUGCAGUUUCAGAACCUGAAGGUUAGUAAGAUUAAACAGCUCCACCGGCAACGUUCCAUUCAGCUGAUUCUGAGCCAAGUUCAAGAGUGCCAACUUCGAGCAAGAACCGAUUUCUGGAGGUAUCAUUCCAGUAAAGCUGUUUGUUUCCAACUCCAAAUACAUCAAAUUCUUAAGUGAUGCAAAAUCUAUUGAAGAGAUAGGGCCACUGAGUGAAUUGCUACCCAAUCUUAACCUGAUCAAACUUGAAGACAUUCUUCCAGGUAUUGGUCCCUCCAACCUAUUAUAAGACAAAUCCACGGUCUGCAAGUUUGAUGGUGACAGAAAGUCCCAUGGAAUUCCCCCAAUUAAAUUAUUAUAACUAAGAUCUAAAAUACUGAGAAAUUUUGUGAUAUUACUAGGAAUUGAACCAACAAAUUUGUUUUGAUUGGCUGAAAACCUCCGCAGCGUUGUGAUACUUGAAAGGGUUGCAGGGAUCAACCCUGUCAACUGAUUGGAAGAGAGAAUGAGGACUUGCAACUUGGUGAGGUUCCCAAUACUUGCAGGAAUUUGUCCACUGAGGCUAUUAAAACUAAGAUCAAUCCGGACCAAAUUCUGAUAGAUUACAAUUUCAGUUGGUAUUGGACCUGUGAAGUUAUUCUUAGAAAGCACAAGAUGCAAUAUUUU